This 253-nucleotide ribosomal RNA is filed under the name uncultured bacterium. RNAcentral's name for it is "partial 16S ribosomal RNA". It matches the Rfam family "Bacterial small subunit ribosomal RNA", at positions 524 to 776 of the family's 1533-position model. The record is from RNAcentral.
UACGUAGGAGGCGAGCGUUGUCCGGAUUUACUGGGCGUAAAGCGCGCGCAGGCGGCACUUCAAGUAAGGUGUGAAAUCUCCCUGCUCAACGGGGAGGGUGCACUUUAGACUGAGGAGCUAGAGGACGGUAGAGGGGGGUGGAAUUGCUGGUGUAGCGGUGAAAUGCGCAGAUAUCAGGAAGAACACCAAUGGCGAAGGCAGCUCUCUGGGACGGUACUGACGCUGAGACGCGAAAGCGUGGGGAGCGAACAGG